RNAcentral lists this ribosomal RNA (556 nucleotides) under uncultured bacterium. Its description in RNAcentral is "partial 16S ribosomal RNA". It matches the Rfam family "Bacterial small subunit ribosomal RNA", at positions 355 to 900 of the family's 1533-position model. The record is from RNAcentral.
UAGGGAAUCUUCCACAAUGGACGCAAGUCUGAUGGAGCAACGGCCGCGUGAGUGAAGAAGGUUUUCGGACCGUAAAGCUCUGUUGUUGGUGAAGAAGGAUAGAGGUAGUAACUGGCCUUUAUUUGACGGUAAUCAACCAGAAAGUCACGGCUAACUACGUGCCAGCAGCCGCGGUAAUACGUAGGUGGCAAGCGUUGUCCGGAUUUAUUGGGCGUAAAGCGAGCGCAGGCGGAAGAAUAAGUCUGAUGUGAAAGCCCUCGGCUUAACCGAGGAAUUGCAUCGGAAACUGUUUUUCUUGAGUGCAGAAGAGGAGAGUAGAACUCCAUGUGUAGCGGUGGAAUGCGUAGAUAUAUGGAAGAAUACCAGUGGCGAAGGCGGCUCUCUGGUCUGCAACUGACGCUGAGGCUCGAAAGCAUGGGUAGCGAACAGGAUUAGAUACCCUGGUAGUCCAUGCCGUAAACGAUGAGUGCUAAGUGUUGGGAGGCUUCCGCCUCUCAGUGCUGCAGCUAAUGCAUUAAGCACUCCGCCUGGGGGAGUACGACCGCAAGGUUGAAAC